CAAGAAAUUGCACAGGCUUAUAUAGAUUCUUUUGCACCUAGAGACGGAGAUCAGGAUAAUCCUGACAAGGUUCCAGAUUUUGUAGAAACCAUGGUGUACAAUUCCACAGAAGCUGUUUGCAUGACCGGUAGAUAUGCUUCGAAAGAAGAGGCCAAGCACUUCCAUAGACAGCUGUUUGCAUGACCGGUAGAUAUGCUUCGAAAGAAGAGGCCAAGCAGAAGGGCAAUGUGAUCAACAGUGUCGGUUGGUGGUUCAAACCAUGGUUUUACCAGCAUGCUCAAACUGCACUGAAGAGAGGGG
RNAcentral lists this long non-coding RNA (300 nucleotides) under Nicotiana benthamiana. RNAcentral describes it as "long non-coding RNA (NBEN_LNC019285)". Lineage: Eukaryota; Viridiplantae; Streptophyta; Magnoliopsida; Solanales; Solanaceae. The record is from RNAcentral.